Molecule: ribosomal RNA, 218 nt
Filed under: uncultured bacterium
Lineage: Bacteria
Description: partial 16S ribosomal RNA
Rfam family: Bacterial small subunit ribosomal RNA
Source: RNAcentral
ACGCUCGACACCUACGGGAGGCGGCAGUGAGGAAUAUUGGUCAAUGGGCGCAGGCCUGAACCAGCCAAGUAGCGUGAAGGAUGACUGCCCUAUGGGUUGUAAACUUCUUUUAUAUGGGAAUAAAGUUUUCCACGUGUGGAAUUUUGUAUGUACCAUAUGAAUAAGGAUCGGCUAACUCCGUGUCAGCAGCCGCGGUAAUCUGAGCGGGCUGGCAAGGC